AUGGGCUCCUCUGCAGAGGAGCUAGCUCCGCGCCGUGCGCUCCAGCACCGACGCUCGUGCCGUUCAAUGGCGACGGCGGCCAUGGCCAUGCUCACUCAUGCUCCAACGCCGGCCGUCCUCGCGCAAGUCCCUUUUCCUCUGUAUCUUCAGAUCCCAUCCCACCACCCGAGCGCCUCCUCCUCGCGCCCUCGUCGACGAUCUGCAGACUGCAGUAGCAGCAGCAGGACCCCCGCCGGAAGCAGCAGCUCCACCGCACAACAACGGCGCUGCGGGUGUCACUCUCGAGCGCCAGUUCACGGUCCCAGCGCCCAUCUACCUGUGCAGCGCGGCCGCUAA
Molecule: ribosomal RNA, 336 nt
Filed under: Triticum aestivum (bread wheat)
Lineage: Eukaryota; Viridiplantae; Streptophyta; Magnoliopsida; Poales; Poaceae
Description: partial small subunit ribosomal RNA
Source: RNAcentral